Molecule: ribosomal RNA, 497 nt
Filed under: uncultured bacterium
Lineage: Bacteria
Description: partial 16S ribosomal RNA
Rfam family: Bacterial small subunit ribosomal RNA
Source: RNAcentral
GAUGAACGCUGGCGGCGUGCCUAAUACAUGCAAGUCGAGCGAACGGACGAGAAGCUUGCUUUUCUGAUGUUAGCGGCGGACGGGUGAGUAACACGUGGAUAACCUACCUAUAAGACUGGGAUAACUUCGGGAAACCGGAGCUAAUACCGUAUAAUAUUUUGAACCGCAUGGUUCAAAAGUGAAAGACGGUCUUGCUGUCACUUAUAGAUGGAUCCGCGCUGCAUUAGCUAGUUGGUAAGGUAACGGCUUACCAAGGCAACGAGGCAUAGCCGACCUGAGAGGGUGAUCGGCCACACGGGAGCUGAGACACGGUCCAGACUCCUACGGGAGGCAGCAGUAGGGAAUCUUACGCAAUGGGCGAAAGCCUGACGGAGCAACGCCGCGUGAGUGAUGAAGGUCUUCGGAUCGUAAAACUCUGUUAUGAGGGAAGAACAUAUGUGUAAGUAACUGUGCACAUCUUGACGGUACCUAAUCAGAAAGCCACGGCUAACUACGUG